This 688-nucleotide ribosomal RNA is filed under the name Bacillus amyloliquefaciens. Its description in RNAcentral is "bacterial SSU rRNA". It matches the Rfam family "Bacterial small subunit ribosomal RNA", at positions 1 to 671 of the family's 1533-position model. The record is from RNAcentral. Lineage: Bacteria; Bacillati; Bacillota; Bacilli; Caryophanales; Bacillaceae.
UUUAUCGGAGAGUUUGAUCCUGGCUCAGGACGAACGCUGGCGGCGUGCCUAAUACAUGCAAGUCGAGCGGACAGAUGGGAGCUUGCUCCCUGAUGUUAGCGGCGGACGGGUGAGUAACACGUGGGUAACCUGCCUGUAAGACUGGGAUAACUCCGGGAAACCGGGGCUAAUACCGGAUGGUUGUUUGAACCGCAUGGUUCAGACAUAAAAGGUGGCUUCGGCUACCACUUACAGAUGGACCCGCGGCGCAUUAGCUAGUUGGUGAGGUAACGGCUCACCAAGGCAACGAUGCGUAGCCGACCUGAGAGGGUGAUCGGCCACACUGGGACUGAGACACGGCCCAGACUCCUACGGGAGGCAGCAGUAGGGAAUCUUCCGCAAUGGACGAAAGUCUGACGGAGCAACGCCGCGUGAGUGAUGAAGGUUUUCGGAUCGUAAAGCUCUGUUGUUAGGGAAGAACAAGUGCCGUUCAAUAGGGCGGCACCUUGACGGUACCUAACCAGAAAGCCACGGCUAACUACGUGCCAGCAGCCGCGGUAAUACGUAGGUGGCAAGCGUUGUCCGGAAUUAUUGGGCGUAAAGGGCUCGCAGGCGGUUUCUUAAGUCUGAUGUGAAAGCCCCCGGCUCAACCGGGGAGGGUCAUUGGAAACUGGGGAACUUGAGUGCAGAAGAGGAGAGUGGAAUUCCA